UUUUUAGUCAAUAGUUUUAAUGUGGUUUGUCCAGCGGUAACAAAAUGCAUACAUAUUUCUUUUUUGUUGAUCAUUACAGUACAAUUCUUUUACUUCUAACAAAUACAUCUGGACUAAGAAUGUUUAGAGUAUCUGAAGUAGGCUCCUAUCUAAGGAUAAAAUCAUAGUACUGGGCCUUGGUCUGAAUUUUUUUUUAGGACUAGGGUAUGAUUUUUUUUCAUAGAUUUCAUAACAAAAUUAAUUUGUUCAACGUUUAAAAACAUAAGGAUUUAGCACAUAUCUUUAGGGGACUAGUUAUAGGAAGGGCCGCUGGGAAACUGAACAUAUUACCUGAAAACCUAAUGCAGCUCUGUCACAUUUAGCAAAAUACUAAGAUUUUAAAGUACUAUACUGAAAUCAGAUAAAGGCAAUGCCAUCGUAGUUAUUAAUAAUGCAUCAGAUUAUUAGCGUAGAAUAAACCAAGCACUUGCAGAAGAAAAUUCUUAGAAAAUUAUGGAUAGGGAUACUGACAUUUCAAAGUGGCAUUCAAAUUUUAAUGUUUCCCUAUAAAAAGAAAAUUUUCCAUACUAACAAAUAGAUACAGGCAAUCCCCGGUUAAUUCCGGGGGUUUCAUUCCCGGCCAAGGGCCACUAACCAGAAAUCGACUAUACAGUAAUAGCACUGAUAAACCACUUAAUGGUGCCGCUAACAGGAUAUCGGCACCGCUAACCACAUAUCAGCGCUGCUAACUGGAGAUCGGUAUUGAUAAACCACUUACUGAUGUCAGUAAACCACUUACCAAUGUGUAUAAACCGCUUACUGGCACUGAAAAUCCAGUUCAUGAUAAACCAAUUACUGGCGCUGAAAAUCAUUAACUACCGCCGAAAAUCCAGUUAAGGAUAAGCCUUGUAACGCUGAAAUGCCAUUAACCGAUGCCUCUGGUGUGCAGGGACUGCUAUAUGAAAAUGCCUAAGCUCCAUACAUGUACAACCUCUCCAAAAUACAUGAAGUAGGUAUCUCAGUGAGACCGUUAGUCACUUCAUUAAGUUCUCCUGUCCCAAAUUUAUCAGCUUAGGAAACGUUUUGGGCGUUAAUGCAGGUUUGGUUUCACAUGCUUAUUUAAAACACUCCUCCAAAUGUUACUGAUGCCAAAGGAAGAAGUACUACUUGGUUAUGUCAGGUAAGACUGCAUAUCCCUCCCUCACUAAUUAACUGCCAUGUAACCAAACUUCAAUGACUAUUCUCAGGUUCUCAUCUCACACUGGGAAUGCUUACAUAUAAAAUAUUUUGCUUUGUAUGUUUAGAGAAAAUGAAAAUUUCAAAUAAUGAUCAGAAAUAAGAAAAUGAGGUUAUUUCUUAAUACAAAUUUUUUUCAGGUCAUACUUGCCACGAUGUUGUAGAACUCUUCUUGUAACCAAACCACUCAUCAUGUGUUCACGAUGCAAAUCAUUCACGCAUAAUUUAGCGGCUGUGCUUCAGUUGGAGGGAAUUCCUACAUGUCUCUACUGUGAUGGUCGUAUGACGCAAUUGACAAUGAGAAGAAAUUAGGUAAGUAAGGGGAGCAUGAUUGUUGAGAGUUGCGUCCAGUUCUGCAUUCAGAAGAGAAGAGAUCAGCGGAAAAAGAGGUCGACUAGUAAAUGCCCUCUAUCAUGGAUGGAUUUACCAGGGAUAAAGCAUUUCCACAGUUUGUGCAGUGCCUCUUCAAACCAGCAAAUUGUGGCCUUAUAGAUCUUAUGUCAGUUUUAUGCAAUGAGACUGAAUAAAAAAAAAAACUGUAUAGUAAAAAAAUUUCAUAGCUGACAUUUGAAAUUCGUCAAGUAUAAAAUUACACGAUGCUAUGACAUUUUAGCAGAUAAUAAAAAUAAGGUUUUUCAUGGGCACAAAGCAUAAGCAUGUUGAGUGUAAACUGGAUUUGCUGAAAUUCAUGCAGUGUAAAGUACUGUUAUAUCAUAAUAAUAAAGUCCAUUAGUUAUAUGUACAGAUAAGUUUAUAAUGAUUGAGGUUACAUUAUCAGAUGAUGAAGUGACUGCCAGAUCCGCUAGAGUUCUAGAAGGUAGCACUUUGGUCAGUUAAACUGUAAAGUACAAGUACACUAGUAAGCAGUAAUGAAGGAAUCAUGUUUUGUGGCAUGAAAUGAAUCCUGGUUAUAUGCAUUUAUGUGAUUGUACGGGCAGUCCCUUGGCUUAAUUCAGUGGUUACGUUCUAUACUGCGAUGUAAGCCAUAAAACAGUGUAACCCAAGAUAUCAUCGAAAAUUGUAAGAAAACCUUACUUUUAAUCCUUUGGGUGUCUUGAAAAUUAUGUAACCUGAAUUUUGAUUGAGCUUUCCUUCAAAAUCCUCCAAAUUUUUACCAUUCUGCCAUUUUGGAGCCAUAUUUAUUAACGUUCCAGUCUUCCAUCAGACUGGGAAACAAUUUUUGAUGGAUAUAUUUGAAGAGCAAUGUAACCCCAGAAUGACAUAAGCCGAGUCCGAUGUAGCCUGGGGACUGCCUGUAACAGUUGUUGUUAUGAAAGUCUUUCAUGUAUGUAUUUGUAUUGCAAGUUUCUUAGAAGUUGUACAGGUUUUUGUGAAGACAAAGAAUGUUGUGAAAUUUUUUAUGCUUUUUGGAUUAAGUAUUUACCAAGCUGCCUAUAAGGCACAGCUUGCUGUGAGUAAUCAAGUCAUAUCAAUGGCAACUGUGUUGUUGACAAAGGCCAUACAGCAUUUUCCAUGUAGAAGUCCCACUGACAUUGCUCAGCUUUUGUGUUUCCACAGUUUUCCAUAUUACUGCUGAUAUGUGAGGCUGUAUAUCACCAAUACUUACACUGAAACACAGUUAAAAGUAUAAGUUAUUUCUUCAUUUUUCAUUUGGAUACUUUGGGAUUCAAGGUUUGUCAAGUCUUUAUGCUUCACCAUUCAACUAUGAAAAAAGCUUUAGUUUUAAAGGCUGUAUUAAAACACUUGAAUGUACCAUAGUGUAUUUAAGUAAGAAUACACCCCACUACUAUACUGAAUACUGCAUCUAACAUUGGUACUGCUUUCCAUGGAUGGUGAGAUCAAUCUUGAAUUAUGUAAUCUCCAUGUUCAAAAUUUUUGCAUAGAAAAUUUUGGCAUUGUGAAAUUUGAGUAUCAGCUGCACAAUGUAUAUAAUUAAUUUAAUUCAGUAGAUCAAGCCGUGUCUAGUUGGUCAUGUGACUUGUAAACACUAUAUGCAACAUUGUAGAUUAAUGUUCAAAAUGCUAUGGCUCUCAGAUAUGGUUUUUAGAUAUUCCUUUGCUUUUAUAAUAACGCAAUAAUGUAUAAAUGUUUAAUGCAAAACACAUUUCCUAGUCUCCCUGAGUCAGGUGUAUUGAUGUACAAGUAUUAUGUUUACCUUGAAUCUCCAUGACUAGAUGCUGUUUUGUUGCACAAGAAUCACAUUUCCAUUAUUUUAAAUGCCAAAUCCUAUAUGUACUAUAUUGAGCAUUCUUUCUUUGCUCUGUUGUUGAUAUUUUAAGUGUAGUUCAGCAAGUGAUAACACUGGAGGAUGCAUUAAGAGGAAAAUAGUCAAAGGUCUGGGCUUCAUGGCUGGUUUUAUAUGACAAUUCUUGAAGUGAACGGGCACAUUACUGUUGUUUAUAAAAUGGAAAAGAUAUUGAGAAUUCUAAGUCAGUGCUUUUCUCCUUCUCAGAAAUUUUGUUGGUGUGAACUCUUACACGAAGCUCUGAUCUAGUCACUGGAAAGUAUUAUUUGUAAAGCCACAGAACAUUUGGAUUGUCAACUAUUAGAUUUAAGAAUUUCGAUAAUAUAAACUGCUGUAUGUUUUUGAAUCAAGAAAGUAUCAGCUUUUACCCAGCUUGACUGGGAGACAGAUGCCGAUUGUCAUAUCUUAUGCAGGAAAUACAAUGCAAGGCUGUGCUGCCUCCAGAUGAAGCUCAUAUUACUAGAAAUGAAUAAGGUGCUGGGAGUUUGUAGCUGAAGCUGGUAUAAACUUGUUUUAAGAAAAAAAAUACCUGUUUGGUGAUCUGUUUUUGGGGAUUAUUAGCACGCCAAUAGAAUUUUUUUAUUAUGAAAUUUGUAUAUAUUGUAAUUUUUAAAUAUUUACCUGUGAUACACAUGGUUGCUAGGGCAUGAAGGGCUUUUUUUGUUAAGCAUUUAUUUUUUAUAAUAGACAAAUUUGUUGCAGAAUUACUCUAAUAAGCAUAAAAAGGGUUUCAGUAAUACCCCAGGGGUAGAUUUGCUCUGGAAAUGUGCAGAGUCACCGAUAGCAAUCAUAGAUUAACCAAUGGAAAUCAGUUUUAACUAAAAUUAGUUGAAUUGCACUUGGAGGAUUUGUUCCAGUUUUUUUAUUGCAGAUAAAAAAGGGAUUUUGACGUAGGAAAAAUCUAUUUCUGGGCGAGGGGGCCGUGUCGCUCCGUGAAAUAGGUUCCUUUAGCACUAUUUCUAAGGUAAAAUAUUGUUAUAAUACCAGAGAACUGCUACAAUGACAUACACAGAAUGCAGAUGAAAUAAGACACUUAUGAACUACACAUUGUGUAUAAAAUAUAUAUAUUGGCCCAGUACUACAAUUACGCUACUGGGCUCAGGUAAAAAUGUUAAUGAGGCUGGAAGGAGGGCAGAAGGAGAUAAGAUAACUACUGACUACUACUGCUGACCGGAGCAGGGGAAACUGUGUUUCCCACAGCUACGGCCGGGUACCCUGUCACUAAUAGUGCAAAGUAUAUUUAUAGAAUAUUAAAAUGAAUUUUCUUUCAAAGCCAAUAGGGUGAGAUGAGGUAAUACCAUACCAUAAGUGGAAAAAUAUUUGGCAGAAAUCAGGUUUCAGCCAGAUUGAGUAAAGUGUAUGUCCAAAAUAAACUUCAAGAAAUGGGCCAUCUAUGGUAUCCAUGUGAAUUAUUAAAAAUAAUGGCAAAUACAGUUUUCAGAUUUAAAAAAUUUUUUUUACUUCGCACAGGUUUUCCAUGGUUGGGUAAUACUGUACAGGGUAUAGGGGAAUACCCAGCUAAGAUUUUUUUACUUACCUGUAUUUGUGUGUUAAUGGUGUGAAGGGGUUUUAAAUGGCUAAGAUUACUUUAAAUAGAUGUAUUUAGUUUACUAAUGGGGGAAAUUAAAGAAAUCUAAUACAAAUUUACACUUAUUGUACAAAAAUUGAUAAUAAAAUAUAUACUACAUUCUUUGUACAGAUUAUUUACAUCCUACCCUACCAAAUGUUGAAGGAGUUCAGUGGAGGGGAGACCUUUAUUAGGGGUGCCUGCCUCUGGGUGCAGCCCUUCACAGUGGUCAGGACACCCCUACACUGCAAAACCUCCACAUUUUCAACAUCUUCAACUG
Long non-coding RNA from Macrobrachium nipponense, 5268 nucleotides. RefSeq lists it as uncharacterized. The transcript is spliced from 3 exons. The record is from RefSeq and is a predicted model, not a curated record. Lineage: Eukaryota; Metazoa; Arthropoda; Malacostraca; Decapoda; Palaemonidae.